AGCAGUAGCCGCGGUAAUACAGAGGGUGCGAGCGUUAAUCGGAUUUACUGGGCGUAAAGCGUGCGUAGGCGGCUUCUUAAGUCGGAUGUGAAAUCCAUGAGCUUAACUUAGGAAUUGCAUUCGAUACUGGGAAGCUAGAGUAUGGGAGAGGAUGGUAGAAUUCCAGGUGUAGCGGUGAAAUGCGUAGAGAUCUGGAGGAAUACCGAUGGCGAAGGCAGCCAUCUGGCCUAAUACUGACGCUGAGGUACGAAAGCAUGGGGAGCAAACAGGAUUAGAUACCCCAGUAGUCCCUGUCUCUUAUAC
RNAcentral lists this ribosomal RNA (303 nucleotides) under uncultured bacterium. RNAcentral describes it as "partial 16S ribosomal RNA". It matches the Rfam family "Bacterial small subunit ribosomal RNA", at positions 507 to 807 of the family's 1533-position model. The record is from RNAcentral.